AUGCUUACCUGGCCAGGGAGACACCAUGAUCAAGCAGGUGGUUUUCCCAGGGUGAGGUUCAUCCCUUGCACUCCAGGUGUGCUGACCCCUGCAAUUUCCCCAAAUGUGGGAAACUCAGCAGCACAAUUUGUGGUAGGGGGGGUCGGCAUUAGAGAUUUCUUUUU
This 164-nucleotide small nuclear RNA is filed under the name Amazona collaria (yellow-billed parrot). RNAcentral's name for it is "U1 spliceosomal RNA (ENSACOG00000004420.1)". It matches the Rfam family "U1 spliceosomal RNA". From Rfam's summary of the family: U1 is a small nuclear RNA (snRNA) component of the spliceosome (involved in pre-mRNA splicing). Its 5' end forms complementary base pairs with the 5' splice junction, thus defining the 5' donor site of an intron. There are significant differences in sequence and secondary structure between metazoan and yeast U1 snRNAs, the latter being much longer (568 nucleotides as compared to 164 nucleotides in human). The record is from Rfam by way of RNAcentral. Lineage: Eukaryota; Metazoa; Chordata; Aves; Psittaciformes; Psittacidae.